CUUGGUCAUUUAGAGGAAGUAAAAGUCGUAACAAGGUUUCCGUAGGUGAACCUGCGGAAGGAUCAUUAUCGUACAAAAUGUGUGAGGCAUGCUAGGGCUGUCGCUGACAAAAGUCGUGCACGCCAGAGUGUCCUCUCACAUUAAAUCCAUCUCACCCUUUUGUGCACCACCGCGUGGGCACCCUUCGGGAUCGAACUGGUCCAGGAGGGGGCUUGCGUUUUCACACAAACCCUCAUUUAAAAGUGUAGAAUGACCCCAUUUUUGCGAUAACACGCAAUCAAUACAACUUUCAACAACGGAUCUCUUGGCUCUCGCAUCGAUGAAGAACGCAGCGAAAUGCGAUACGUAAUGUGAAUUGCAGAAUUCAGUGAAUCAUCGAAUCUUUGAACGCACCUUGCGCCCCUUGGUAUUCCGAGGGGCACACCCGUUUGAGUGUCGUGAAUAUCUCAACCUUCUCGGUUUCUUCCGGAUGCCGAAGGAGGCUUGGACUUUGGAGGCCUCUGCUGGCAUCUUUUGAAGGCCAGCUCCUCUCAAAUGAAUUAGCGGGGUCCUCUUUGCCAACCCUCGACAUGUGAUAAGAUGUUUCCAUGUCUUGGUUUAUGGCUCUGUUGCUUUUGGGACCCGCUUCUAAUCGUCUCAAUGACAACGUUUGAGAGCGUCUCCCUUCUCGGGAAACCCUCUCGAACCCACGAACCCUUGACCUCAAUCGGGUGAGACUACCCGCUGAACUUAAGCAUAUCAAUAAGCGGAGGA
Molecule: ribosomal RNA, 753 nt
Filed under: uncultured Lactarius
Lineage: Eukaryota; Fungi; Basidiomycota; Agaricomycetes; Russulales; Russulaceae
Description: eukaryotic LSU rRNA
Rfam family: 5.8S ribosomal RNA (bases 285-438)
Source: RNAcentral